GCCCCGGCUGCCAUGAGUUGUGCGGAGGUGAUGUAUCACCCCCAGCCGUAUGGAGCGCCCCAGUAUCUGCCCAAUCCCGUGGCAGCUGCAACCUGCCCCACAGCCUACUAUCAUCCGGCGCCCCAACCUGGCCAGCAGAAAAAGUUAGCGGUAUACAGCAAGAUGCAGGACUCUCUGGAGGUCAACCUUCCCAGCAAACAAGAGGAGGAGGAGGAGGAGGAGGAGGAUGAGGAGGAGGAGGAGAAAGACCAGCCUGCCGAGAUGGAGUACCUUAACUCUCGCUGUGUCCUUUUCACUUAUUUCCAGGGAGACAUUGGGUCAGUAGUGGAUGAACACUUCUCAAGAGCUUUGGGCCAAGCCAGCACCCUCCAUCCAGAAUCUGCCAUUUCAAAAAGCAAGAUGGGGCUAACCCCCUUAUGGCGAGACAGCUCAGCUCUCUCUAGCCAGCGGAAUAGUUUCCCAAGUUCUUUUUGGACCAGCUCUUACCAGCCCACACCUGCACCCUGUCUGGGGGGAGUUCAUCCUGACUUCCAGGUCACGGCACCCCCUGGCACCUUUACUGCAGCCGACCCCAGUCCCUGGCCAGGACACAGCCUGCAUCAGACUGGCCCAGCCCCUCCCCCUCCUGUGUCUGAGUCCUGGCAUUAUCCUUUGGCAUCUCAGGUGAGCCCACCCUACAGCCACAUGCACGAUGUGUACAUGCGACACCACCACCCCCAUGCCCACAUGCACCACCGCCACCACCAUCAUCACCACCACCACCCUGCUGGCUCUGCCCUGGAUCCGUCGUAUGGGCCCCUGCUGAUGCCUUCAGUGCGUGCAGCCAGGAUUCCUGCUCCCCAGUGUGGCAUCACAAAGACAGAUUCGACCACAGUCACCACUGCUACCUCAGCGUGGGCCGGAGCCUUUCAUGGAACUGUGGACAUAGUGCCAAGUGCAGGAUUCGAUACAGCAAUCAUAAAGUAAUUAUUAAAAAUGUGCAAAACCUUGAAGAAUUCUUUCCAUAUGUCAUGCGUCCUCUGUCUUCAGCACCAAGACAAAAGCAAAGAAUCACCAUGGUACUGAUACAGUAUUAGCAAAUCAGGUCUCAGCGUGAAUUCGAGGACCCACUGGAAGAAAAUGCUGUCAGGAUCUUUCAUUCUGCAGUGGAACAUGACACAAAAGGGAAAUAGAGUCAAGCAGUUGGCUGGUGUUGAGAGUUUUCAGAGAGUGGAUCCUGGACAAUGAAGAAAACCACCCUUGUUUGUUUCCCCCUCAUCUGAGCCUUUCCCAAUGUGUAACUCUUUCUUUUGUUGUUUGCUUUGCUUUUACCAAUGCAACAGUUUAUCUCUGUUCCAUUUUGGUUUUUUCUUUUAAGAACC
Molecule: RNA transcript, 1361 nt
Organism: Ochotona princeps (American pika)
Lineage: Eukaryota; Metazoa; Chordata; Mammalia; Lagomorpha; Ochotonidae
Gene: VGLL3
Gene name: vestigial like family member 3
Exons: 5
Source: RefSeq, a predicted model, not a curated record